CUUUACUGUAGCCUGGUAUUGGGUUCGGGCUUUGACUGCGCAGGAUAGGUGGGAGACUGAGAAGUGUGCCUUGUGGGGCACAUAGAAUCAACGGUGAGAUACCACUCCGUCAGAGCUAGAAUUCUAACCUUCACCCGUGAUCCGGGGAAGGAACCGUAUCAGGUGGGCAGUUUGACUGGGGCGGUCGCCUCCUAAAAGGUAACGGAGGCGCGCAAAGGUGUUCUCAGGCUGGUUGGAAAUCAGCCGUAGAGUGUAAAGGCAGAAGAACGCUAGACUGUGAGAGUGACAACUCAAGCAGGGUGGAAACACGGCCUUAGUGAUCCGACGGUAUGCGCGUGGAAGUGCCGUCGCUCAACGGAUAAAAGUUA
RNAcentral lists this ribosomal RNA (368 nucleotides) under uncultured organism. RNAcentral's name for it is "bacterial LSU rRNA". It matches the Rfam family "Bacterial large subunit ribosomal RNA", at positions 2099 to 2465 of the family's 2925-position model. The record is from RNAcentral.